AGACCCGAAACCCGGUGAUCUAGCCAUGGGCAGGUUGAAGGUUGGGUAACACUAACUGGAGGACCGAACCGACUAAUGUUGAAAAAUUAGCGGAUGACCUGUGGCUGGGGGUGAAAGGCCAAUCAAACCGGGAGAUAGCUGGUUCUCCCCGAAAGCUAUUUAGGUAGCGCCUCGUGAAUUCAUCUCCGGGGGUAGAGCACUGUUUCGGCUAGGGGGCCAUCCCGGCUUACCAACCCGAUGCAAACUGCGAAUACCGGAGAAUGUUAUCACGGGAGACACACGGCGGGUGCUAACGUCCGUCGUGAAGAGGGAAACAACCCAGACCGCCAGCUAAGGUCCCAAAGUCAUGGUUAAGUGGGAAACGAUGUGGGAAGGCCCAGACAGCCAGGAUGUUGGCUUAGAAGCAGCCAUCAUUUAAAGAAAGCGUAAUAGCUCACUGGUCGAGUCGGCCUGCGCGGAAGAUGUAACGGGGCUAAACCAUGCACCGAAGCUGCGGCAGCGACGCUGAUGCGUUGUUGGGUAGGGGAGCGUUCUGUAAGCCUGCGAAGGUGGCCUGUGAGGGUUGCUGGAGGUAUCAGAAGUGCGAAUGCUGACAUAAGUAACGAUAAAGCGGGUGAAAAGCCCGCUCGCCGGAAGACCAAGGGUUCCUGUCCAACGUUAAUCGGGGCAGGGUGAGUCGACCCCUAAGGCGAGGCCGAAAGGCGUAGUCGAUGGGAAACGGGUUAAUAUUCCCGUACUUGGUGUUACUGCGAAGGGGGGACGGAGAAGGCUAUGUUGGCCGGGCGACGGUUGUCCCGGUUUAAGCGUGUAGGUGUGUGUUCCAGGUAAAUCCGGUUCACUUUAACACUGAGGCGUGAUGACGAGGCACUACGGUGCUGAAGCAACAAAUGCCCUGCUUCCAGGAAAAGCCUCUAAGCAUCAGGUAACAUCAAAUCGUACCCCAAACCGACACAGGUGGUCAGGUAGAGAAUACCAAGGCGCUUGAGAGAACUCGGGUGAAGGAACUAGGCAAAAUGGUGCCGUAACUUCGGGAGAAGGCACGCUGACACGUAGGUGAAGUGAUUUACUCAUGGAGCUGAAGUCAGUCGAAGAUACCAGCUGGCUGCAACUGUUUAUUAAAAACACAGCACUGUGCAAACACGAAAGUGGACGUAUACGGUGUGACGCCUGCCCGGUGCCGGAAGGUUAAUUGAUGGGGUCAGCGCAAGCGAAGCUCCUGAUCGAAGCCCCGGUAAACGGCGGCCGUAACUAUAACGGUCCUAAGGUAGCGAAAUUCCUUGUCGGGUAAGUUCCGACCUGCACGAAUGGCGUAAUGAUGGCCAGGCUGUCUCCACCCGAGACUCAGUGAAAUUGAACUCGCUGUGAAGAUGCAGUGUACCCGCGGCAAGACGGAAAGACCCCGUGAACCUUUACUAUAGCUUGACACUGAACAUUGAGCCUUGAUGUGUAGGAUAGGUGGGAGGCUUUGAAGUGUGGACGCCAGUCUGCAUGGAGCCGGCCUUGAAAUACCACCCUUUAAUGUUUGAUGUUCUAACGUGGACCCGUGAUCCGGGUUGCGGACAGUGUCUGGUGGGUAGUUUGACUGGGGCGGUCUCCUCCUAAAGAGUAACGGAGGAGCACGAAGGUUGGCUAAUCCUGGUCGGACAUCAGGAGGUUAGUGCAAUGGCAUAAGCCAGCUUGACUGCGAGCGUGACGGCGCGAGCAGGUGCGAAAGCAGGUCAUAGUGAUCCGGUGGUUCUGAAUGGAAGGGCCAUCGCUCAACGGAUAAAAGGUACUCCGGGGAUAACAGGCUGAUACCGCCCAAGAGUUCAUAUCGACGGCGGUGUUUGGCACCUCGAUGUCGGCUCAUCACAUCCUGGGGCUGAAGUAGGUCCCAAGGGUAUGGCUGUUCGCCAUUUAAAGUGGUACGCGAGCUGGGUUUAGAACGUCGUGAGACAGUUCGGUCCCUAUCUGCCGUGGGCGCUGGAGAACUGAGGGGGGCUGCUCCUAGUACGAGAGGACCGGAGUGGACGCAUCACUGGUGUUCGGGUUGUCAUGCCAAUGGCACUGCCCGGUAGCUAAAUGCGGAAGAGAUAAGUGCUGAAAGCAUCUAAGCACGAAACUUGCCCCGAGAUGAGUUCUCCCUGAGACUUUAAGUCUCCUGAAGGAACGUUGAAGACGACGACGUUGAUAGGCCGGGUGUGUAAGCGCAGCGAUGCGUUGAGCUAACCGGUACUAAUGAACCGUGAGGCUUAACCUUACAACGCCGAAG
Molecule: ribosomal RNA, 2251 nt
Filed under: Salmonella enterica subsp. enterica serovar Schwarzengrund
Lineage: Bacteria; Pseudomonadati; Pseudomonadota; Gammaproteobacteria; Enterobacterales; Enterobacteriaceae
Description: partial 23S ribosomal RNA
Rfam family: Bacterial large subunit ribosomal RNA
Source: RNAcentral